Molecule: ribosomal RNA, 253 nt
Filed under: uncultured bacterium
Lineage: Bacteria
Description: partial 16S ribosomal RNA
Rfam family: Bacterial small subunit ribosomal RNA
Source: RNAcentral
UACAGAGGUCUCAAGCGUUGUUCGGAUUCAUUGGGCGUAAAGGGUGCGUAGGCGGCGCGGUAAGUCGGGUGUGAAAUCUCGGAGCUUAACUCCGAAACUGCAUUCGAUACUGCCGUGCUUGAGGACUGGAGAGGAGACUGGAAUUUACGGUGUAGCGGUGAAAUGCGUAGAGAUCAUGAGGAAGACCAGUGGCGGAGGCGGGUCUCUGGACAGUUCCUGACACUGAGGCACGAAGGCCAGGGGAGCAAACGGG